Meriones unguiculatus (Mongolian gerbil) is the source of this 664-nucleotide long non-coding RNA. RefSeq lists it as uncharacterized. NCBI's taxonomy places the organism in Eukaryota, Metazoa, Chordata, Mammalia, Rodentia, Muridae. The record is from RefSeq and is a predicted model, not a curated record. The transcript is spliced from 3 exons.
CUUCUGUCCUGCUUCAUUCCCAGGAGACCCUGAUCCUCUUGCAGAACUUUGCAAACACAGGCUCUCGCUCUAUUUGAAGAAUGAAUGGUUUUGUUUGUUUGCUUCGAGACAAUGUCUCACUACGGAACCCAGUCUGGCCUGCUGGCCUCUCUAUAUAGUUCAGGCUGACCACAAACGCACUACAAUCCUCUUGAGUGCUGGGAUCAUGGGUGUGCACCACUGUGUCCAGCUUCAGCCUACCUUUUCAAUGCUGAGCGUGCUCUGAGAUGUAAACACAACAAAUGGCAGAGCAAUGUGCCUGGCUGGACAGGGGACAUGGAGACAGACUGGGUACAGUAAAGUGACUGAAGAGGCCAUCCCAGCUUCCAGGAGGGCAUCCAAGGCCAGUCUGGCAGAGGAAACUCCAGGAGUCAGUACCUGAAGGGGCCAAGACAGCAGUCCUGGUUGUGGGUCGGAUUGGACUGAGGCUGCAGGAUAAACAAAAAGCCGAGUGGGCUCUCAUAGACACAGGCUGAAUCCUGUAGGAAUGCCAUAAGAAGAGGGAUGUGUUUUUAAAAAAUAAUUACUGUUUUAACUUGACUAUGGCUGUUUAGACCAUGGAUAAGCAAGCUCUGUGUGUUUAUAUCGUCAUGAGCUAGGCUUAGUUUUUAUCUUCUUAAGUGGU